RNAcentral lists this ribosomal RNA (253 nucleotides) under uncultured bacterium. Its description in RNAcentral is "partial 16S ribosomal RNA". It matches the Rfam family "Bacterial small subunit ribosomal RNA", at positions 524 to 776 of the family's 1533-position model. The record is from RNAcentral.
UACGGAGGAUGCAAGCGUUAUCCGGAAUGAUUGGGCGUAAAGCGUCCGCAGGUGGCAAUGUAAGUCUGCUGACAAAGCGUCUGGCUCAACCAGAUAAAGGCAGUGGAAACUACAUAGCUAGAGUAAGGUAGGGGUAGAGGGAAUUCCUGGUGUAGCGGUGAAAUGCGUAGAGAUCCGGAGGAACACCGACGGCGUAGGCAGCGCCCUGGACGACACCUGACGCUGAGGCACGAAAGCUGGGGGAGCGAACAGG